CGGCACGUAGCGCAGCCUGGUAGCGCACCGUCAUGGGGUGUCGGGGGGCGGAGGUUCAAAUCCUCUCGUGCCGACCA
RNAcentral lists this transfer RNA (77 nucleotides) under Citrobacter freundii. Its description in RNAcentral is "tRNA-Pro". It matches the Rfam family "tRNA". Rfam says of the family: Transfer RNA (tRNA) molecules are approximately 80 nucleotides in length. Their secondary structure includes four short double-helical elements and three loops (D, anti-codon, and T loops). Further hydrogen bonds mediate the characteristic L-shaped molecular structure. tRNAs have two regions of fundamental functional importance: the anti-codon, which is responsible for specific mRNA codon recognition, and the 3' end, to which the tRNAs corresponding amino acid is attached (by aminoacyl-tRNA synthetases). tRNAs cope with the degeneracy of the genetic code in two manners: having more than one tRNA (with a specific anti-codon) for a particular amino acid; and 'wobble' base-pairing, i.e. permitting non-standard base-pairing at the 3rd anti-codon position. Lineage: Bacteria; Pseudomonadati; Pseudomonadota; Gammaproteobacteria; Enterobacterales; Enterobacteriaceae. RNAcentral also lists the same sequence under 22 other names. The record is from RNAcentral.